UAACACGUGGAUAAUCUGCCUGGGUGUCUGGGAUAACCAGUCGAAAGAUUGGCUAAUACCGGAUAAGCCCCCGGGAGCUUCGGCUCCUGAGGGAAAAGGUGGCCUCUGUAUACAAGCUAUCACAUCCAGAUGAGUCCGCGGCCCAUCAGCUAGUUGGCGGGGUAAUGGCCCACCAAGGCAACGACGGGUAGCUGUCUGAGAGGACGACCAGCCACACUGGGACUGAGACACGGCCCAGACUCCUACGGGAGGCAGCAUGGGGAUUUUGGACAAUGGGGGCAACCCUGUCCAGCAAUGCCGCGUGUGUGAAGAAGGCCUUCGGGUUGUAAAGCAUUUUGUCCAGGAAAGAAUCGUCCGGCCAAUACUGGAUGGAGACGGU
RNAcentral lists this ribosomal RNA (379 nucleotides) under uncultured bacterium. RNAcentral describes it as "bacterial SSU rRNA". It matches the Rfam family "Bacterial small subunit ribosomal RNA", at positions 111 to 476 of the family's 1533-position model. The record is from RNAcentral.